This 493-nucleotide ribosomal RNA is filed under the name uncultured bacterium. Its description in RNAcentral is "partial 16S ribosomal RNA". It matches the Rfam family "Bacterial small subunit ribosomal RNA", at positions 28 to 506 of the family's 1533-position model. The record is from RNAcentral.
GACGAACGCUGGCGGCGUGCUUGACACAUGCAAGUCGAACGGAAAGGCCUGCUUUCCCUUGUGGAUUGCGGGUACUCGAGUGGCGAACGGGUGAGUAACACGUGAGUGAUCUGCCCCCAACUUGGGUAUAAGCCUGGGAAACUGGGUCUAAUUCCCGAUAGGACUGCAGGGUGGUGCCUGUGGUGGAAAACGAUUUUCUAGUGGUUGGGGAUGAGCUCGCGGCCUAUCAGCUUGUUGGGGGGGUAAUGGCCUACCAAGGCGGCGACGGGUAGCCGGCCUGAGAGGGUGGACGGCCACAUUGGGACUGAGAUACGGCCCAGACUCCUACGGGAGGCAGCAGUGGGGAAUAUUGCACAAUGGGCGGAAGCCUGAUGCAGCGACGCCGCGUGGGGGAUGACGGCCUUCGGGUUGUAAACUCCUUUCGACCGCGAGGAAGCCACCUGGUUGGAAGGGUGGUGACGGUAGUGGUAGAAGAAGCACCGGCUAACUACGU